Molecule: ribosomal RNA, 267 nt
Filed under: uncultured bacterium
Lineage: Bacteria
Description: partial 16S ribosomal RNA
Rfam family: Bacterial small subunit ribosomal RNA
Source: RNAcentral
GUCCACGCCGUAAACGAUGGGAACCUGACGUCGGCCUGCUCUGCGGGUCGGUGUCGUAGCUAACGCGCUAAGUUCCCCGCCUGGGGGAGUACGGCCGCAAGGUUGAAACUCAAAGGAAUUGACGGGGGCCCGCACAAGCGGUGGAGUAUGUGGUUUAAUUCGAUGCAACGCGAAGAACCUUACCUGGGCUUGACAUGCUAGGAAAUCCUGCAGAGAUGCGGGAGUGCCCGCAAGGGAACCUAGACACAGGUGCUGCAUGGCUGUCGU